This is a non-coding RNA of Myotis brandtii (Brandt's bat), 70 nucleotides long. The record is from Rfam. NCBI's taxonomy places the organism in Eukaryota, Metazoa, Chordata, Mammalia, Chiroptera, Vespertilionidae.
GGCAGUUCUCGGGUACCCUGGAAUCAGGCUCCCUCCUCUCUGGUUCCAGGUGUGUCACCCGAGAACCACA